CGGCACCACUGGUCCUGAGUCUCACAGGCAGAAGUAAGUUUGGCCAGAGGAGGUUAGAAAGGUGGCCAGUGCAGCUGGAGGGAGCCUGGGAGGAGAGAACAGGAGCUGGGGUGGAAGGUAGGGCCAGGGCCUGGUAGGCUGUGUCAGUUACGUUUCCCUCUCUGACUUCAUUGCCCCAACCUUGCAUUUCAAAACUACAAAUGUUGACUAUCUCACAAUUUGUGUAGAUCAGCAAUCAGGCACAUUUUAGCUGGGUGCCUCUGCCUCAGUGAGUUUAACAAGUUGGGGCUGUGGCCUUAACUGAGGCUCAACUGGGGGAGGACUGGCCCCCAACUUCACCCUCAGCCUUCAGGAUUCAGUUUGGCCUGAGAGCCUGAGUUCCUUUCUGUUGGCCUCGGCACUCCCGUGCUGCUCUCCUCGAUGGGCCUCCACAAUGGGCAGCCCCAAUACACCGGUAUUUGAUUCCUCAGUUCCAGAGAUUCAGCAGAGUGAGAGAGAGAGAGAGAUGGAACAUGAGAGAGGGAGUAAGAGGAAGUGAGAGACUUUUUUAUUUAAAAUUUAGACAAGACAUCCCAUCGCUUUGGCUGUUAUUAUGUUCAGAAGCCAGUUACUAACCACUUAGUGGUUCCACGGGGAUGGCUAUACUAUGGGUGAGGCUUACUGGGUACCACUGUGGAGGCUGCCCACCUCAUAGGCCAAGAUGAGGCACUUGAGUCUCAUUCUCCAUAAAACAGGAAACAAUUGAAUGGUUUUAUGCCACAGAAUGGCAAUAUCUGAAUUUCCAUUAGUUGCAACCCCCUCAUGAUGCUGACCUGAAAAUGAAGUCAAGUUGGAAGUGACUGUCCCAAUAUCACAUUCCUGGAACCCAGGCCUGUUUUGAGUGGUGGUCUGUACUACAUCCCACCUCUCCUUGUUAUUCUUCCAUCUCUAAGUUUGGGCCUUAGGUACAUGUGACACCAGCCCACAGGGGUAAUAGAUAUUAUCUCAUAUACACUGGGUGACCUCCCUAGGAAGUAGAUUCUAGCCUGAUCCCCAUGGUGCAGGUUUGGAGACUAGGGAGGACCUGAGAGGCACAGGGACUAUCCCAGGAUGAAGAACUGGUAAGAAAAAGGAGGUCUGCAUUCAUCUCUGUCUCCUCAAAGCUAGGACCCUAGUUAGGUUUCCCAGGAGCUGUGGCUAGGGCUGUGUGGGCUCCUUGUGUACAGUUCAGGAGAUGACAUGGGGUCAUAGACCUCAAUAGAUCUUAUAACUCUCGUAACCAGGCACCCACAGCCCCCUAUCCAGCUCACUUGAUUGGAGACAGUCAGCAGGCAAAGAUGUUUUGUUGUUGUUUCCCAACUUUCUGAGGAUCUGGGCUCAAAAAAUCCCAGAAAGAGAAUCUUUUUGGUCGUUGCCAACGUUUAUUCAGCCCUCAUCCCCGAUGCCUCUGGGCAUCUGGCAGGAGGCAGUGAAAGGUAACACGGGGCAGCCCAGGAAAGGCUAGUGCAGGCCAGGGCACAGCUGUGAUCCCACCUGAUCAGCCCCCCACCCGUUGCCCCUCUUUGGGUGUGUGUGUGUGCGCGCGUGCGCACGCGCGCAUGUGUCUGUGUGGAGUGGGGAAGGCAGGGCAUGAGAGGUGGGUCAUUCCUAGGUUGGAGCUGGUUGUUAGGUGUCGGAAGCCUGGUGGGUCUGUCAUGUUCAUACCCCAGGUCAUGGCUGGCAGCAUGAGAAGGUGAGCUCCUCUACUCAUAUGUUACCGAGCCCUAGAGGUUUCAUCUGCUUCCCUCCCUGAUGGGAGUUCUUUGCAGGGAUGCUUCUCUGUGACUGAACUGAGGAGCAGACUUUCUCUUUGAGGUUGGCCCCAGUGGCAGUGUGCAGGCAGCCCCUGAUUCCUUCUGGCCCAGCUCCCGGGCAGUCUUUGUAGAACUUCACUCAGGAGGUCAUCGAGGAGCUGCCCGAUGGUUUCAACUCCACCAACUCACUAGACAAGAGGCAGGUGCACGAGGCCACCAACUCCAUCCACUGCUGCUUGAGAUAAGAGCAGGAGCAGAGGGUCUCCACACUCAGGACCUUGAGGUGACAGGCUAGGACCAGAACUGGGGCGGGACCAGACAGGGGCUGUCCCUUUUUCAAGCUAAAGGGGAUGUACAUGCAGGUUACCUUGCCUGGUUCGGAGCUGAGCUGCCUGACCCUCUUUCCCUUGUCUGGUGUGAGCUUCUUGAGGCCACUGAGGCAGAGCUGGAGGAUAAGGGGUACUGAAGGCUGGGUAUUCCUGGAAGGGAAGUGGAAUCUUUCCUGUGUUUAGAAGGAUGCAUGGAAAGUCAGCUAUGUGGGUCAAGUUUUCUCUUUAUCCCGCUCCAGCGCCAGCUGCAGAGCUCCAGCCAGCGGCAGAAGCAGAACAGCGGGCAGUGGUGGAGGUAGAGCUGGCUCCAGCUCCGUUGACACCACCCCCUAUAGCACAGGAGCCAGCGUCCCCUCCAGCAGCAGUGUUGGAGCUGGAGCAAGGGCCGACAUCGGCUCCAGCAGGAGUGAGAGCUUCUGAGCUGGAGUCACCUGGACCAUCAUUUCUAGUGGGAAGUCCAUCUCCACCUGUGGCUGUUAAGGAGCAUGAGAAGAAGCCUAACCUCACAGCCUUCCUCCUAAGCUGGUGGUGGAGCAGUUGACCAUGAUGGAUUAGGUGAGCAGCUGGGCUGUCAGGAUGGGGUGGGGCAGGUCUUCCCUCUGCCAUCAUUGCCCCAGACCUGAUCCGCACUCCUAUGACCAAAUCCCGGCUCCACCCCUUACCAACCGUACGACCUGGGAAACUUUCUGAACCCCCAAGGCUUUGCUGUCCACCUGCAGAGCGUAGAGGUGGACACUAACAGGACCUUUUGCACAGAGUGGCUGUGCCAACUCCAUGAGGAGCUCUUCUGGAAGGUGCUGCCCUCUCAGUGCCUGGGCUCCACUUGGGGCAAGAGGAACAAGCCUGGCAAUGAGCACCUGGCACCCACCGUCCAGGCCGCUGUCGACCACUUCAGAAGGGUGGUCAGCCUCGUCGUCACCACCUGCCUCGGGGACCCGAGCAUGACGGCCCAGGACAGGGCGAGGGUGGUGGAGCACUGGGUCCAGGUGGCCCAGGAGUGCGAGAUCCUGAAGAACUUCUCCUUGCCCCGCACUGUCAUCUCUGCUCUGCAGAAACCCUCCAUAAACCACCUGAAGAACACACGGGGGAAGUUUCCCGGGAGAGCUCUGAAAAUCUUAAGGAGCUUUAUAGCCACGACAAGUCCUUGAGCAGAGAACUGAUGACCAAGGAGGGGCCCUCCACCUUUGCCCCCCCGGAGAGCAGCCCCCAGAGAGUGCAGGAGAAGCAGCAGCAGCAGCAGGGGAAUGAGAUCAACCUUGAGAAGAGGACUGAGGAGCAGCUGCGGCACUCCCUGCAGGGGAGGGGAAGGAGGUGGAAAUCAGAGACCCUCUGGGCAGAAUAGUCCCUGGCUCCACCCCGUGUAUCUUACAUUGAGUGGAAGAGAUUGAUAACAGAGAAGUGGGAGACCCAUCCAAUUGGCGGGAAUACCGAGUCAUGAGGGAGAUCCUGCUGCUCCAGGUGGCCACAAAGAAUUACAACCAGAGCCCCAGGAGCGAUUUGGGGCCUGAUUCCAGGACAUGGAGCUGCUCAAUGAGAAUGAUAGCUACAGCCUGUCCCGCCAGUUGGAGCCCCAGACCUAGUUGGCUAGCAGAAUACUCAAGGCCAAGAAGAACCAGCCAUCAUCAAGGUCAGGGGUCAAAGACCAAGGGCAGAGGUCAUCAAGAGGUCAAGCCUAAUCUACCUACAGAUGUGGCAGCCUUAACUAUGGAUGUUCAAGCCAGACAUUGCCAGCAGAAUCACAUCUCUUCACCCAUAAGCUGCCAUGAUCCUCCCUCUGGAUCCCGUGGUCAGGAUCGCUGCAGAGAUCCUCCUUUUGGACCCCACCCGCCUGAAGGGCCUAUACCUUGGUCAGGCAUCUUAGAAGGCCUGCCGUGAGCCAUGUCAUAAAAAGGAGAAAACAUCACAGUGGACAGCCCCAAUUCCUGCAUAUACAGAUGGGAAACUUAGGUGCACUGCUUCUCUGAUUGACUCCAAAUACUACAGCACCACACGCUUCUAGACUGGUGGAUGCGCAGCUCCACUUCUUUGCAGGGAGGA
Long non-coding RNA from Diceros bicornis minor, 4138 nucleotides. RefSeq lists it as uncharacterized. NCBI's taxonomy places the organism in Eukaryota, Metazoa, Chordata, Mammalia, Perissodactyla, Rhinocerotidae. The transcript is spliced from 11 exons. The record is from RefSeq and is a predicted model, not a curated record.